Molecule: long non-coding RNA, 839 nt
Organism: Cavia porcellus (domestic guinea pig)
Lineage: Eukaryota; Metazoa; Chordata; Mammalia; Rodentia; Caviidae
Exons: 2
Source: RefSeq, a predicted model, not a curated record
UUCCUCAGCAUAUGGACAUGGCUGAAAGCUAGAAGAGCAAGCUGUUCCACGAAGUCUCAGCAGAGGCUGGAAUGAGACAUGAACUCCACAUGUGGAGAGGCAACCACAAGUGAAGACCUUUGCAAUUCUGAAAUAUUAGACACUUACCAAGUUUGAAAGUAUAGGCAACAACUAUGAAGACAAUAAGAUUCAUUAUGACGCCCAUUCUGGUUUGACUAUUAUCUUCUUUUGAAGUCCUAUAAUGUCUCCAAUGUUUUGGUUUUAUUGGUUUUGUUCUUUACUGUUUUGUUCAAUUUUAUUAUAACGAAUGAUAUAGGCAACUCUUUUUAAGAUAGCAAGAGGCAUUAUGGUAACCAAUGUUGAUCACCUUGUAUUUUGUUUUUACAUUAUGUAUUAUGUCCAUCCUUUUGAUUUGACUGACUCUGUCCUGGUAUGUCACAUUUGGUUUUACUCUCUUCAAAAAAAAGUAAUAAGAACAGUUGGAGUAAUAAAACCCAAAAUGUGUAAUUGUCAUUGUACAAAAGAGAGGAAAAGAAAGUGCUCUAAAGGACAUAACUGCAUGUAUAUUUAAGUGUAUAAGACAGGUAAUCAUAUUACCGAGUUUUACUGGAUCAUUGAACAGAACUGUUUGCAGUCUCACUGUUUGAAUGUCCAUUCUAUAUGCUUUAAUUUUGUAACUUGAACAACUAUUUCCAAGAUAACAAUAUGUAAUCUAUUAACUAGUGAUUUCCUACUGUUUAUUUUUUCUGAAAUUCUGUAUAAUUAGUACCCUUUUUCUGUUUUUUUUCUUUUUUCUCCUUAAAUAAAAUUAAAAAAUAAACAAAAACAAAACAAAGAUA